AUGUGAGUGAGUCUCACAGAUGUAAUAUUGAGUGAAAGAAACCAGACACAAACCAGAGUCCAUUUACAUGAAGUUCAAGAACAGGCAAAACCAAUUUAUGGAGCUAGAAAACAGAGUAGUGGCCACCUCUUAGUUGGAGAGGGAUGAUGAUUUUGAUUGGGGACAGGCAGGAGGGAGUCUUCUGGAGAGCUGAAAAUGUUCUCUAGCCUUCCUCUGGGUGGUGGCUACUUGGAUCUGUGGCUCCUAGCCUCCAAGAAGGCCCCCAAUCCUCCCCUCCUCUGGUGGGUCCUUGUGUAGUCCCCUCCUACACUGUGUCAGGACUGGUCUGUGUGAUCAGUAGAAUAUGGCAAAAGUGCUGGCAUGUCCCUUUUGAGGACAGAUCAUAAAAGACGUUGUGGCUCUGCCUUGCUCUCUCUUAGGUCACUCACUCUGGAGGAAGCCAGCUGCCAAGUCUUGAGGACACUCAAGCAGCCCUGUGGAGAAGCCCAGAGGGAGAGGAACCAAGGCCUCCUGCCAGCAGCAUCUUGGAAGCAGAUGCUCCAGCCCCGCUCAAGCCUUCAGAUAAUGGAAAGAGGGGCCCCUAAAGGCAAAGGUGCCCAGAGCUCACAAAAGUCACAGUGCAGACCUGAGCAAAGGAAGGGGUGCUAUGGACUGAAUUUGUAUCUCCCAAAAAUCCGUACGUUGAAGCCCUGUUCCCCAGUGUGAUGGUAUUGGAGACAGGACUUUUAGGAGCUAACUAAGGUAAGUGAGGUCCUAAGGGUGGGGCCUUAAUCUGAUAGGAUUGGUGGUCUUAGAAGAAGAGGAAGAAGAAGAGAGAGCUCUCUCUCUCUCUUCACACACAUGCACUAAGGAAAGUCUGUGUGAGCACACAGCAAGAAGCUGGCCGUCUACAAGCUAGGAAGAGAACCUUCACCAGAAAGUGACCUGGCUGGCAUCUUGGUCUUGGCCUUCUGAGCCUCCAGCACUGUGAGAUACUAAUUCCCGUUGUUUAAGCCACCUAGUCUGUGGUAUUUUGUUAGGGCAGCCUGAGCUGACUAGUACACAGGGAAAAAGUGAAAAAAGUAAGCAAGGUGAAGAAGUGCCAGGUCCAUGAGCAACUGGCUCAGAU
RNAcentral lists this long non-coding RNA (1108 nucleotides) under Equus asinus (donkey). RNAcentral describes it as "lncRNA (ENSEASG00005033695.1)". Lineage: Eukaryota; Metazoa; Chordata; Mammalia; Perissodactyla; Equidae. The record is from RNAcentral.